This 765-nucleotide ribosomal RNA is filed under the name uncultured Sulfurimonas sp. Its description in RNAcentral is "bacterial SSU rRNA". It matches the Rfam family "Bacterial small subunit ribosomal RNA", at positions 578 to 1341 of the family's 1533-position model. The record is from RNAcentral. Lineage: Bacteria; Pseudomonadati; Campylobacterota; Epsilonproteobacteria; Campylobacterales; Sulfurimonadaceae.
GGUUGUCAAGUCAGGUGUGAAAUCCUACAGCUUAACUGUAGAACUGCACUUGAAACUGGCAACCUAGAGUAUGGGAGGGGGAGAUGGAAUUAGUGGUGUAGGGGUAAAAUCCGUAGAUAUCACUAGGAAUACCUAAAGCGAAGGCGAUCUCCUGGAACAUUACUGACGCUAAGGCGUGAAAGCGUGGGGAGCAAACAGGAUUAGAUACCCUGGUAGUCCACGCCCUAAACGAUGAACACUAGUCGUCGCCCUGCUUGUCAGGGCGGUGAUGCACUUAACAGAUUAAGUGUUCCGCCUGGGGAGUACGGUCGCAAGAUUAAAACUCAAAGGAAUAGACGGGGACCCGCACAAGUGGUGGAGCAUGUGGUUUAAUUCGAAGAUACGCGAAAAACCUUACCUGGCCUUGACAUUGAUAGAAUCCAGCAGAGAUGCAGGAGUGCCCUUCGGGGAGCUUGAAAACAGGUGCUGCACGGCUGUCGUCAGCUCGUGUCGUGAGAUGUUGGGUUAAGUCCCGCAACGAGCGCAACCCUCGUCCUUAGUUGCCAGCAGGUUAAGCUGGGCACUCUAGGGAGACUGCCUUCGCAAGAAGGAGGAAGGUGAGGACGACGUCAAGUCAUCAUGGCCCUUACGGCCAGGGCUACACACGUGCUACAAUGGGGCGUACAGAGUGUUGCAAUACCGCGAGGUGGAGCCAAUCACUUAAAGCGUCUCUCAGUUCGGAUUGUUCUCUGCAACUCGAGAGCAUGAAGCUGGAAUCACUAGUAA